Molecule: ribosomal RNA, 301 nt
Filed under: uncultured bacterium
Lineage: Bacteria
Description: partial 16S ribosomal RNA
Rfam family: Bacterial small subunit ribosomal RNA
Source: RNAcentral
CAGUCGCCGCGGUAAUACGGAGGGUGCAAGCGUUAAUCGGAAUUACUGGGCGUAAAGCGUGCGUAGGCGGUUCGUUAAGUCUGCUGUGAAAGCCCCGGGCUCAACCUGGGAAUGGCAAUGGAUACUGGCGAGCUAGAGUGUGUCAGAGGAUGGUGGAAUUCCCGGUGUAGCGGUGAAAUGCGUAGAGAUCGGGAGGAACAUCAGUGGCGAAGGCGGCCAUCUGGGACAACGCUGACGCUGAGGCACGAAAGCGUGGGGAGCAAACAGGAUUAGAUACCCCCGUAGUCCCUGUCUCUUAUAC